AAGGUAGUAGGAAGGUGGCUCUCUCGGGAGUGUUAUAGCCUAUUGCUGCAUACAUUGGAUGAGACUGAGGACUGCAGCUUGCCUUUAUGGCCGGGGUUCGCCCACGUUCAAGCUUAGGAUGUUGACAUAUUCUCGAAUCACGA
RNAcentral lists this ribosomal RNA (143 nucleotides) under Apiotrichum porosum. RNAcentral describes it as "partial large subunit ribosomal RNA". The record is from RNAcentral. Lineage: Eukaryota; Fungi; Basidiomycota; Tremellomycetes; Trichosporonales; Trichosporonaceae.